CCUACGGGAGGCUGCAGUGAGGAAUAUUGGUCAAUGGGCGCGAGCCUGAACCAGCCAAGUAGCGUGAAGGAUGACGGCCCUACGGGUUGUAAACUUCUUUUAUAAAGGAAUAAAGUGAGGCACGUGUGCCGUUUUGUAUGGACUUUAUGAAUAAGGAUCGGCUAACUCCGUGCCAGCAGCCGCGGUAAUACGGAGGAUCCGAGCGUUAUCCGGAUUUAUUGGGUUUAAAGGGAGCGUAGAUGUGUUGUUAAGUCAGUUGUGAAAGUUUGCGGCUCAACCGUAAAAUUGCAAUUGAUACUGGCAGUCUUGCGUACAGUUGAGGUAGUCGGCAUUCGUGGUGUCGCGG
Molecule: ribosomal RNA, 346 nt
Filed under: uncultured bacterium
Lineage: Bacteria
Description: partial 16S ribosomal RNA
Rfam family: Bacterial small subunit ribosomal RNA
Source: RNAcentral